UGGGGGAUAUUGCACAAUGGGCGAAAGCCUGAUGCAGCGACGCCGCGUGGGGGAUGAAGGCCUUCGGGUUGUAAACUUCUUUUGCUCUGAACAAGGCAUGCUAAUGGGUGUGUUGAGUGUAGGGGUUGAUUAGCGCCGGCUAACUACGUGCCAGCAGCCGCGGUAAUACGUAGGGCGCGAGCGUUGUCCGGAAUUAUUGGGCGUAAAGGGCUUGUAGGUGGCUGGUUGCGUCUGUCGUGAAAGCUCAUGGCUUAACUGUGGGUUUGCGGUGGGUACGGGCUGGCUUGAGUGCAGUAGGGGAGGCUGGAAUUCCUGGUGUAGCGGUGGAAUGCGCAGAUAUCAGGAGGAAUACCGGUGGUGAAGGCGGGUCUCUGGGCUGUUACUGACACUGAGGAGCGAAAGCAUGGGGAGCGAACAGG
RNAcentral lists this ribosomal RNA (419 nucleotides) under bacterium. Its description in RNAcentral is "partial 16S ribosomal RNA". It matches the Rfam family "Bacterial small subunit ribosomal RNA", at positions 355 to 776 of the family's 1533-position model. The record is from RNAcentral.